ACUUCGCCCUUAACUUUGCACAAACCACACACAUUUUGCCCGCCAGAGAAUUACGAGCGAAAGCUUAAAACUCAAAGGACUUGACGGUGCCCCACCCCACUAGAGGAGCCUGUCCUAUAAUCGAUAAUCCACGUUUCACCUCACCUUUUCUUGCUCAACCCGCCUAUAUACCGCCGUCGCAAGCUCACCUAGUGAUAGAAGCCCAGUGAGCAAUCCAGCCCCCUCGCCCACACGUCAGGUCAAGGUGUAGCUAAUGAAAAGGCAAGUGAUGGGCUACAUUUUCUAUUACAGAAAAUCCACCGACACAUCAUGAAAUUUGAUGCCUGCAGGCGGAUUUAGCAGUAAAUAGCCCAAGACAUGUGCUAUUGAACCAAGCUCUGGGACGCGCACAC
Molecule: ribosomal RNA, 392 nt
Filed under: Lygodactylus sp. CAS_198863
Lineage: Eukaryota; Metazoa; Chordata; Lepidosauria; Squamata; Gekkonidae
Description: partial 12S ribosomal RNA
Rfam family: Bacterial small subunit ribosomal RNA
Source: RNAcentral